This 496-nucleotide ribosomal RNA is filed under the name uncultured bacterium. RNAcentral describes it as "partial 16S ribosomal RNA". It matches the Rfam family "Bacterial small subunit ribosomal RNA", at positions 29 to 507 of the family's 1533-position model. The record is from RNAcentral.
AUGAACGCUGGCGGCGUGCCUAAUACCUGCCAGUCGCGCGAACAGACGAGGAGCUUGCUCCUCUGACGUUAGCGGCGGACGGGUGAGUAACACGUGGAUAACCUACCUAUAAGACUGGGAUAACUUCGGGAAACCGGAGCUAAUACCGGAUAAUAUAUUGAACCGCUUGGUUCAAUAGUGAAAGACGGUUUUGCUGUCACUUAUAGAUGGAUCCGCGCCGCAUUAGCUAGUUGGUAAGGUAACGGCUUACCAAGGCAACGAUGCGUAGCCGACCUGAGAGGGUGAUCGGCCACACUGGAACUGAGACACGGUCCAGACUCCUACGGGAGGCAGCAGUAGGGAAUCUUCCGCAAUGGGCGAAAGCCUGACGGAGCAACGCCGCGUGAGUGAUGAAGGUCUUCGGAUCGUAAAACUCUGUUAUUAGGGAAGAACAAAUGUGUAAGUAACUAUGCACGUCUUGACGGUACCUAAUCAGAAAGCCACGGCUAACUACGUG